UACGGGGGUGCGAGCGUUGUCCGGAAUCACUGGGCGUAAAGCGCGCGUAGGCGGACAUUUAAGUCAGGGGUGAAAUGCCGGGGCUCAACCUCGGAACUGCCUUUGAUACUGGGUGUCUGGAGUUCGGGAGAGGUGAGUGGAAUUCCGAGUGUAGAGGUGAAAUUCGUAGAUAUUCGGAGGAACACCAGAAGCGAAGGCGGCUCACUGGCCCGAUACUGACGCUGAGGCGCGAAAGCGUGGGGAGCAAACAGG
RNAcentral lists this ribosomal RNA (252 nucleotides) under uncultured bacterium. RNAcentral's name for it is "partial 16S ribosomal RNA". It matches the Rfam family "Bacterial small subunit ribosomal RNA", at positions 524 to 776 of the family's 1533-position model. The record is from RNAcentral.